GACGAACGCUGGCGGCUUGCCUAAUACAUGCAAGUCGAGCGAAUUUACGAGAGCUUGCUCUCGUAAAUUAGCGGCGGACGGGUGAGUAACACGUGGGCAACCUGCCUAUAAGACUGGGAUAACUUCGGGAAACCGGAGCUAAUACCGGAUAAUUCACAUCUACUCAUGUAGAUGUGCUGAAAGACGGUUUCGGCUGUCACUUAUAGAUGGGCCCGCGGCGCAUUAGCUAGUUGGUGAGGGAACGGCUCACCGAGGCCACGAUGCGUAGCCGACCUGGGAGGGUGACCGGCCACACUGGGACGGAGACACGGCCCAGACUCCUACGGGAGGCAGCAGUAGGGAAUCUUCCGCAAUGGACGAAAGUCUGACGGAGCAACGCCGCGUGAGUGAUGAAGGUUUUCGGAUCGUAAAACUCUGUUGUUAGGGAAGAACAAGUACCAGAGUAACUGCUGGUACCUUGACGGUACCUAACCAGAAAGCCACGGCUAACUACGUGCCAGCCGCCGCGGUAA
This 512-nucleotide ribosomal RNA is filed under the name uncultured bacterium. Its description in RNAcentral is "partial 16S ribosomal RNA". It matches the Rfam family "Bacterial small subunit ribosomal RNA", at positions 28 to 523 of the family's 1533-position model. The record is from RNAcentral.